Molecule: ribosomal RNA, 377 nt
Filed under: uncultured eukaryote
Lineage: Eukaryota
Description: partial 18S ribosomal RNA
Rfam family: Eukaryotic small subunit ribosomal RNA
Source: RNAcentral
CAAUAGCGUAUAUUUAAGUUGCUGCAGUUAAAAAGCUCUUAGUUGGAUUUCGGGUGGGAAUGGCCGGUCCGCCGUUUCGGUGUGCACUUGCUACGCCCACCUUGCUGCCGGGGACGUGCUCUUGAGUUCACGCUCGGGACACGGAGUCGGCGAGGUUACUUUGAGUAAAUUAGAGUGUUCAAAGCAGGCCUACGCUCUGAAUACAUUAGCAUGGAAUAACACGAUAGGACUCUGGCCUAUCUUGUUGGUCUGUAGGACCGGAGUAAUGAUUAAGAGGGACAGUCGGGGGCAUUCGUAUUUCAUUGUCAGAGGUGAAAUUCUUGGAUUUAUGAAAGACGAACUACUGCGAAAGCAUUUGCCAAGGAUGUUUUCAUUAA